Molecule: ribosomal RNA, 253 nt
Filed under: uncultured bacterium
Lineage: Bacteria
Description: partial 16S ribosomal RNA
Rfam family: Bacterial small subunit ribosomal RNA
Source: RNAcentral
GACGUAGGGGGCCAGCGUUGUUCGGAAUUACUGGGUGUAAAGGGUUCGUAGGCGGUGCGGCAAGUUGGGAGUGAAAUCUCUGGGCUUAACCCAGAGGCUGCUUCCAAAACUGCUGUGCUUGAGUGUGGGAGAGGCGCGUGGAAUUGCAGGUGUAGCGGUGAAAUGCGUAGAUAUCUGCAGGAGCACCCGUGGCGAAAGCGGCGCGCUGGACCACUACUGACGCUAAGGAACGAAAGCUAGGGGAGCAAACAGG